UGGAUGAGCGAUUUCUCGAAGAUUGUUUCUUCUUACUCGAGUCCUUUGAAAAAACAAAGUUGGUGAGCCUUUCCGUGGCUACGAUUGUCCCGAUCACAUCGGUGACAUUCCUUCGAUGUAAUUCUUGUUGUGCUUACGACUUCAAGCCAUCAAGGGAGCUGAACAACUUGUCCUUCUCGGACAUGUCUUGUAUGUCCAGUGUCAGUGUAGAAAAUUGCUUUACGUAGCCUCGAGUGGAAGUACUUUGGCAGAGUUGUCUCAGCUUCCUUGUAACAAACUUCAUGUUCUCGGGUAGGAACUGAGUUCUCAACUCCCGCUUCAAGUCCUCUCAUGUGUCCACUCGAUACUAACCUUGUUGGAUCUCUUCUCAACGUGUUUACCACCAAAGUUUUACAUUCUCAUUCAGAUGAUUGUUAUCGAAACUUUGGUUUCUUUAGAAUCAGGCCUCGUAGAUCGAAAGUAUUGUUCCAUAUUGAAUAGGAAACUCUCGAGCUCCUUCACAUCCCUGGCACCCCCAUAGCAAUGCGGCUCUGGUGCUCUCAAGUUUUGUGACGGAGCAACGCGGGUGUUGCUUCCUCCCCGCAUUAAGAGCCCUUGUGAGCAAUAUAAUCCUUGACAUGAGUUCUUUCACAACUUCGUGUAGGUGUUGCACGGAGUCUUUGGUGUCUUCCAUCAAUCAAUCAACUAGGGAAUCAACCUUGUCGAUCCGAGAUUCCGCCUCUUAUGAGUUCUCUACCCUAAGAAGUCUUAAUUGGCCUUGAUAGAGUUCCUCUAAACUCACUUCAAGAACGUCAAGGCAGGUUUCUGUAGCUGUAAGCCUCUCCUUAUGGCUUCUUUUCCCAGUUGGCGCUCCGGAUUGUGCUUUCUCCGCUCGCGGAGAAAAGUCAACUUCUCGCUCGUCUUGUUCGCUAUUGUGCUCCUCUUGAGCAGCUUCAACAGCUUGAGAGCGAGUUUGCACUUGCAGCCCACUUGUGGCUACUUGGGGCAAUUAUCUGGCUUGCCCCAUUUUACUUGAUUCGGCACGAUGCUUCACCAUGGUGAGAUUGCGAAACUUUUGUUGUUUGGACGAAUUGCUUGCCCGCUCUGAUACUAUAAUGUCACGGACUUAGUUGGAAUUGCCUGAGUUAUGAGGUACCUUUGCGCCAAUGUCAUGGACUUAGCUAGGAUUGCCUAAGUCAUGGGGCACCCCUUGCUUAUCCGUUCGCAAAGGGUUAGUCUAGUUGCAACCUCUCUCAGGUCUCGAAGGAUCUGUAAAAGAACAAAUUGAUUAGUUCAAAAGCAUGCGACGGAUAAGUCUCGACGUCUCGCGAAGAGGGCAGCUUUACAAGCAAUUCAGUAAACACUCUACGUGCAAGAGAAAAAAGAGAAGGAUAAAACAAGGACUUUAGAAGGAAAACGAAUGGUUGCAAGUUCGCAAACGAUUGCUCACUGGGUGUCAGGCACGAUGGCAAGUUUUCGUAGGCUUAACGUGGCAAGUUUUCAUAGGCUUAAUGUGCGAACUUGUGUAUCCAAUCAAUGCCCAACACUACCCUAAACCCCCAUCUAGCCCUGUGCCACUUGGGGGGUUCUAGGGUGCUGAGAUGAUUGACGUUUCACACCUCACCGCAGCCUCCAGAAAACAGGCCAUGACAUGUGAAAAUUGGGCCAUUUUGGGGCAGUUUUGUCCAUUCUGGUGAGCGGUCGCUCUCCAGUGCUGCAAACUAUUCCUGCUCAUAGUUUUUAAGCAAAAACAUACAAAAACAAGGCAAAACACGUUGCCAAACAUAUGUGUGAGCAAACAAAAGCGAUAAACAGUCCAUUGACGAAGAUGUUGUCGGUGCAUAAUGAUCGUUCGUGACAGUAUGGUUCAUAAACAAUGCUUGCUUGGAUUGAUAAAAACCAAUCGAUAUGUGGUGUGAAUGAGAGAGUGACGUUUAGACUAUAUGAUCAAAUUUCUUAACAUUUUUUUUAUCGAUCUGAAUGAACAGAAUCAUAGCUUUGCGAGGAAUCAAACUCUGGAAUACAAAGUCCAUUUAGUAUCUCCACCUGCGCCCAUCAACCCUUUCUGCUGUACAUCUGGGCUGCUUUGUGACAUGCAGUUAACAAGAUUUAAACCCAUAUACAAACCGGAUAUAUGUUAAUUUGGUUUGGAUAAUGAGAAAGAACAUGUUUCAGUCUUCUUUCAGUCUUAAGCUGUGUGGACUGUCAUAGGCAGAUUAGUUAGCAUUAUGCUAUUAUACCUGCAGAGAUUCUCUUAUCUUUAUCAGCUCCUGAUAGAAAUUUGAGACCUUCAUUCCUUUUACACAGAUGAAGUGAUGGUAUUCCUUUUCUUACAAACUUAACUUGGAUUAGUUAUUUGUUAUUAUAUUAUAUCCUUCGUAUUUUUCAUUCAUGUUACCUGAAAAUGAUGUGGGACUUCCCUGUUUGAAACCUGAGUUUCCUUUUAACUAGAUUCAAGGAGUAGAAGAAAUGCUUUCCUUGUAGUAUAUCGCUUUUGAAAUGCUCCCAAUAACUUUAACAUUCAACUGUUGUGAAUAGAGAUGGACAUAGCUCUAAGAAUGUAACUUUACUUUUUAGAUAGCAUUAGUGAAGUGAAAGUUGGAUAUAAUAUUAUUACUUGUUUUUUCUACUUGGUCAUUUUGUCUAUUUUAACUGAUUUCUCUUGGUUUCUUGUUAAAUUUACCUGAAUAUUUGUGAUUUUAUGUUCCUAUGGUAUUAAUAGCACAUGGUAACCUUAUAUACAGAGUCUAGAUUUUCUGUUGCUGCUCCAUUUAUCUAUUUCUGCAUUGCUUUUGCUCUCUGAUUGCAGUUCUAUUUUCUCUGUACUACCUAUCUAUUGUCUGAACAUUUUCAUCUCUUGCAAUGAGGGAGGCCUUAUUUGACAAAUAUUUUGUCAGUCCUUUAUUUGGUUUUUCUACAUGUUUUAUUAUCUAUUGUAAAUGAACAUGGUUUAAAGGUAGCUGAAUCGGCUUUAUUCAUACAUUUUUUCCAUCAGUUUAGAGUUUCUAUUGCUGUUCUUCUGACUGCAGCUUUCUUUCUUUUUUUUUUCUUUUUUGUUGCACCAUCUGGAAGAUCUCCAGCACUUGAGAUGCCUACUUUUCUUUAAAUGACCAUGAUCUAUAUCCAUUUUUCAUACAUAUCAUAACGUCAAUUGAUGAUGAAGGCGGAUUACAGGUUGCUGAACGGGCGUUAUUCCUCUGGAACAAUGAUCAUAUAGUGAGCUUAAUUGCUCAAAAUCGCAGUGUAAUAUUUCCCAUCAUAUUUGAAGCACUGGAGAAGAACAUGCAGGCCCAUUGGAACCAAGCGAUUCAUGGCCUAACAGCAAACGUGCGGAAAAUGUUCCUUGACAUGGACAGCGAGCUGUUCGAGGAGUGCCAGCGACAAUACGAAGAAAAGGAAGCGAAGGCAAAAUCAGUGGAAGAGCAAAGAGAGUUGGCAUGGAGAAGGCUGGAAGCCGUUGUUGAAGCCAAGGCCGGAGGAGAAGACAUGGUUCUAGCCAAUUAGCCAAAUUUGUGGUUGUAUUGUAAGUUAAAUGUAUCAUCUGUGGAUAUGCCUCGGAUCAUGUCAGGUUUCAAGGUUUUCUUUUUUGUCUCCUUUUGUGCAUUUCAAAGAGAGAUGCCGUAUUUUAUUCCAUUCACGAUCUUUUUCUUUUUAUUGGUUUCCUGCAGUGCAAAGAUUUCGAACUUAAUAUGUAUUUCUUUCAGUCUGUUUUGACAUCUACCGACUGCUGAUGCAUUGUGGAAUCAUAUAAUUGCUGAGAAACAACAGUGGAGAUGCUGAGCUCAAAAUAUUUGUUGGUUUUUUUAUGGGAUGAUUUCUUAAGAUAUGAAUGAGAAUUGUGAAUAAAUUAAUUAUUCACAGUUCAUUCAACAACAGUUGGUAAGAAUCGUCGAGCUUUCAUGUAUCCAUUCAUUGCAUGAACAUUGUAUUAUAUCAAGGUCACGCUUACUAGACAUCAAGUCCUUAUGUUUUUGACUGCCUAUAUUGUGUCCUUAGCAUCAGAGUCUCCUCAAAGAUACAUAUCCAUAGUUGGCUCAUAAAAUUAUGGUGGCGAAUGAAAGGCUCAUUUGAGAAAAACAAUAAGGAGAAUCAACAAUAAAGUCAUGAAUUAUAAUGGAACUUUCUUUUUCUUGAUCAAAAAGAACUUCCAAGAUAAAGUUUGUAGUCUAAAAGAUGGAAGUUAUGCAUAUAUCUUUCAAUUGGCAUAAUAAGAACCAUAAAUACUACUUGAUGAGUUUGAUUUAAGGAAAUUGACCGAUAAUGUAGGGUUGAUAUAAUGAUCAGAAUGCUCCUUUAUCAGAUCAAUAUUUUGUGUCAUGAUAAUAGUCUCUAAAUAUAGAGGCAACAGAAAUAUCACAUAUUGGGUAAGCCUUUUAGCCAAUAACGGAUGUUGACCUGCUGCGUCAAGUAUAAGUCCCACAGGAUUGGAGGCUGAAUGAUUGAGCUACGAAGGAUCGUACAAGCAAGUUUUUCCUGGUCGUGGCGAGAGGAGGUAGCAGAAGAGGGAGGUGGCUGCAGCCACACCAAGACUAAGUAGGGGAAGGUUGCGGUGGCGACACUGAUGACUAGGAAAGGAAGGCAGAAGGGAGAAGGGAUAGAGGAGGGAGUAAAGGACGGGAUUGGCAUAAACAACACCAAAGAUGCAAAAGCAGAGUCAUGUCACUUGAUGGAGUCACAAGGAUUAUAAUAAUGAUGUAAUCAAGAAACACUCUUACCCACUUUUAGUAAGAAACAAUAUUGAUAGACACAAUCUUCAACAAAGUUGACCACCAUCCAAUUGACACAGAAUACAUUUAACAAGCUCUGCAUCCUUGCAAGAUUCAAAGAAAAUUGAGAUAAACAAGCACGUAGCUGCAUUUUGGAAAGUCUUUCUUCUACUUAUUGGGGACACCUGACAAAAGAUGUGCAGUGACCUCUGAAUGAAGCAGCUGGUGGAUACAUCACUAUGAAAAAACUCUUGGGCUAGUCAGUCAAUAUGUUAUCGACACAAAGUCUGUGCAACUCACUGCCAUCUAUAAGCCUUCUGAUUCCAGCUUUUAGUUCAGGUACUCCCUCUUGCAAGACAGAACAUACAGGAAAUAUAGGGACGUCUUGGACCCUUCUCUCUAGUUCUUGGAACACAUGUUCUGCACCCUCUUCAUCAAUUUUGUUGGCCACUAUUAAGGACGGUCGAUUUGACAAACCUUCCCGGUGAUGUUCAAGCUCCAAAGCCAAAUCCCUCAGUUGCUCCCAUGGCGGAAUACCCUUCCUCCCAUCCAAUGCUGCUGCUAAAUCAACGACAUAUGCCAAAACCCUUGUGCGCUCUAUGUGCCUCAAGAAAGCAUGGCCAAGCCCACGAUUUGCAUGUGCUCCUUUUAUAAGACCAGGGAUGUCAGCAACCUUGACAGAGAAGAAGUCCUCGUAAUUUAGAUUUCCUAUGUUGGGCCUUAGAGUGGUAAAAGCAUAAUGACCCACAGUUGGCCUAGCCAUUGAUAGGGCCCCUAGCAAUGUGCUUUUACCAGCAUUAGGCAUUCCAAUAAGGCCAACAUCUGCAAUACUCUUCAGUUCCAGUAUAAGAACACUUUCAGAGCCAGGUCUUCCAGCAGCCAAUGAAGUUUGAUAUUCACCAUCCAAAGUUUCUGGACUUGAAGCACCAUUGCAGUAACUGACACUUUUGCGAGAAUCCUUUUUUGAAGUAGCAUUACCAAGGCCACCCUCUCCUCCUCGUGCAACUAUUAUUCUUUGCCCAGGUUGAGUUAAUUCUGCAACUGAAUAUCGCACCACCUCCUCUUCUUCUUCCUCCUUCAUCACCUCCUCAUCUUCCUCUACUCUGAUUUCAUUUGCAUCAUCAGUUUGAUCAUCUUUAAUUUCCUCGUAGGUAGUUUUGCAACAUGGUUCAUCAUCUUCGGUGUCUUUGUCCCACUCUACCUCAGUGGAGGCAGGAGAACCAAAACUUAUUUUGACAUCAUGCUGUGAUUUAUUAACAUCAUCUUCGGAGUACAAAGGUGACGUAUGCAAAUCUUUCAUUAGUGCUGAACAAGAUGCAUUGACCUUAACACUUUUUUGCUGAACAGAAUUAGCUGUAUCAGUGUCAACAGCUCCUGGUAUUUCCCAAGGGUCUAAGGAUGUGAUAGAAGAGUUUUCAGCAUAAGAAGUUUCACCACUAACUAGGUGUAUUACAGUGCCAACUGGUACUUGAGCAACCUGCCAGAUAUAAGAACUAAGUGCUUGACAUACCACAAAGAAAUCACACAAGAUGUUAAUUGAGAAAGACACUGGAAAUUCACCUUGUCAGACCCACGGCUCCCUGCUUUACUCUUUGAAGUUCCAUUCCCUCCUCUUUGUGCAUUCUGGAAAACAAGGUCUAGUCAUAGCUUACAAUAUCACGUAGUAGACUGUUUAAGCCCCUCAACAACAAGCAUGCUUAUAUAAAACUAAAUGAGCUUACUUGUGUACACAUUAUGAAGAAUCCCGUUAAAGCUAUCAGGCAUUGUACAAAAAGCAUAAUGGUACUCCAACAAAGUAACAGAAUAGACAGAAAGGCUUCGAUCAUACCAAGUGAUGCUGCAAAUUGCUGAAGUCCCAAACAGCUGAAGAGCAUUCAAGGAUGACAUCACCACCUCUUCCACCAUUUCCACCUGUAUUUAUUGAAAGAAGAAUUACUACUUUGGCAGACUAGCCAACACUGUUAAGUAACUUGAGAUUAUUAAAACUGAUUCACUACUUCGAAAAUAGCAAAGAUAUGAAAUUUCAAGCACACAAUUUGAUUAAACACAAACAAAUAUGGUAUAGCUGGGGUCAUUUUGUUUGGGAAAUUUCACAAACAGAUAGGCUACAUGUUUCGAAUAUCAAUAAUCUGCCUUCUAACUAAUGAGAAAAUUUCAGAAUCGUGAGUUAUCAGUACAAUUAUAUAUUUUGAUUACAAUGUUGUAAUUCUGACAAACUAACUAAACCAAAAGAUAUUAUAGUUCCACCAUCAGGUCUGCCAUAACGGUCAGUCCUGCUGCGUCUAUAGCUGCAACACCCAUUUCCACCUUCGCCUCCCUUGGUCCAUAACCUAAACCUAUCAACCAUCCUCCGUUCCUGUAAAGGAUGAACAAACGAGGUAAAAGCUUCCGUGCCAUAAGCCAAUAAGAAACACCAUACAAAUUAGAGCAGUAAAAUUAGCUUGAACCUAGUUUUCAACCAAAGAAAGACAACAAAAAGAUCUUGUGCCCAAAAACGAGGUAAAGGAGUGAUUUUGAUCCAUAGAAAACCGAAUGGGCGGGUACAUGCGGAAAUGACAAAAAAGUAGGAACAUUACAACAAAAAAAAGUGAAACACGAAAAACCUUUCAAUUAAAUACAAGAACGAAUGGAGAGAUCUCAUGGAACAAUUGGCGAGUGGCAGUGGAUACCUGCAAAGGUGCCAACUUUCCCUUCUUUUUGGGGACAUCAGAGUAAGAGAAGGAAGAAGGAAGCCAUGGCGGUUUACGACAAGGCGAUCUUAGCAGUACUCUGCCCGGCCCAAGGGUUUGGUGCCAGCGCCACCACAUGUCUCGCUCGCAGCAGCGCAACAAGCGACUUUGCUCUAAUCUCGACGAACAACUCAGAAGCAGUUCUCCCGACAGAAACAAAUUUCGGGGGUUUUCUUGCAAUUAUAUAUAUAUAAAUAUAAAUAUAUAUAUAUAUAUAAAUAUAUAUAUAUAUAAAUAAAUAAAUAUAUAUAUAUAUAAAUAAAUAAAUAUAUAUAUAUAUAUAUAUAUAUAUAAAUAUAUAUAUAUAUAUAUAUAUAUACAUCCUUACCCAAAAACAAAAAAUUCUACUGUUGGGUUUUAAUCUAAUGAUUAUAUGGAUAUUUUAUCUAAUUGAUUUUUAUCGGGGACGCCCAUUUUCCACCGGUCACCCAUCGUGAGCGGCGUGGCCCUUCACCUCCGCCCCCGCUCCCACCGCGUGCGACGUCGCCCCAUCCGCCUUCGCCACUCCCGCCCCGCCCCUUCUAGUUGGCGCUCUCCAUCUUCCUCCUUGUCACCACUGCCCUCCAGGUCACCUACGACGCCCUUUGGCCCCACUUGUGGGCCCCUUGCCCUGUCAACCCCAACCGCACCCUCAGCGUUGCCCAUCCCACUCUCGGUCGAUCCGCCUUCCUCAUCCUCUGCUCGUGUCGCCCUCCGCCACUCCCUCUUCCUCCCAAUCAAAGAGCUCCCUCCUCGCGCUGCCCUUCGCCGCUCCCUCAGCUCUUGCCCACGCUGUUGCCUUCCUUACGGAUGCUUCGAUCGCGAAGAAGGCGAGUAAGAGGAGCAUGGAGCAGAUGGUAAGCGAGCCGACGAUGCCUUUCUCCUCAAAGAGGCUGGACUUGGAGAACUCGGCGAUGAGGCGAUGGAGUCGCAGUAAUCAGCAAGAUGGUGAACGAAGAACCGAUAGCAUGUUUUAAAUGCUUUUGCUUAGAAAAUAUAAAUAGUUUGUAGCCCUCCAAUGCAACCGCUCACGAUAUCAAGUCGAAUUAUUUCAAAAUGAUUCCGUUUUCACCUGUCACGGCUUGUUUAAUGCACGUCAUAAUUGCAUACGAAACAUCAGCCAUCUCAGCACCCUAGAACCCCCCGGGUGGCACAAAGCUAGAUGAGGCUUCGAUAUGUUAUCGAGCGUUGAACAAUCUUCAUAAGUUCGCACGUUAACUUGACGGAAACUUGCCUUUGCAUCCGACACCCGAUGAGCAGUUGUUUGUGGACUUGCAACUGUUCGUUCUAUCUUCUAAAAGUCAUUGUUUUCUCCUUCUCUCUUUUUUUUUAUCUUGCACUCAAAGUACUCGUUGAAUUGCUUGUAAAGCUUUUCUUUUCGCGAGACGUCGGAAUUUGUCCCUCGCUCGUUUUGUAAUUAAUCAACUUUCUCUUUUAUAGGUCCUUCGAGACAUGAGUAAGGUUGCAAAUUGGCUAACCCUUUGCGGACGCAUAUCGCAAGGGCGUACCAUGACUUAGGCAAUCACAACUAAGUCCUGGAGGUUAGUGCAAGAAUGCUUUGCGACUUAGGCAAUUCAAGCUAAGUUCGCAACUUUGCCGCAAUGGUGUCUCACGACUUAGGCAAUUAUAGCGAAGUCCAUGACACUGUGGUAUCAAAGCCAGGUUACAAUUUGAGUAAGUAGUGAAGAAACUUCGCAAUCUCGCCAUGGCAAAGCAUUGUGGUGAAUUGAGCAAGACGGGACAAGUCGGACCAUUGCCCCAAGCAAUCGUAGGUGGGUUGCAAGUGCAAACUCGCUCUCAUGUUGGUGGAGCUACUUUGGAGGAUCAUGUCAGCGAACAUGAUGAGCGAGAAGUUGUCUACUCUCCACGAGCGGAGGAGACGCAAUCUAGAGCGCCAAUUGGAAAAAAUAGCUAUAAGGAGAGACUCACGACGGUAGAAACCCGCCUAGAUGUUCUUGAAGCGAGCUUGGAGGUACUCUACCAAAGCCAACAAAGGCUUCUUGGGGUAGAGAGCUCACAAGAACAAGAUGAAUCCUGAAUCGACAAGGUUGAGGCCCUAGUCGAUCGAAUGACAGAUGAUACCAAAGACUCCAUACAAUGUUUGCAUGAGGUCGUGGCAGAACUCACUUCUAGAGUGACAGUGCUCACAAGGGUACUAAAUGCAGGAGCGACCAAUACCCAUGUCGCGCUACCACAAAACUUGAGGGCAUCUGAGCCUCAUUGCUAUGGAGGUGCUAGGGACACGAAAGAACUCGAGAAUUUCUUGUUUGACAUGGAAUAGUACUUUCGAGCUACAAGGCUUGUCUAAAGAUACUAAAGUUUCAAUAGUAUCUGAAUGAGGAUGCAAAACUUUGGUGGCGGACCCGUUGGGAGGAGAUCCAACAAGGUUGGUGUCAAGUGGACACAUGAGAUGACUUAAAGCGGGAGUUGAGAACUCAAUUCCUACUUGAGAACAUACAGUUCAUCACAAGAAGAAAGUUGAGACAACUCCACUAAAGUACUUCCAUCCGAGACUACGUGAAGCAAUUUUUUGCACUGAUGUUGGACACACAGGACAUGCCCAAGAAGGAUAAGCUGUUCAGCUUCCUCGAUGGUUUGAAACCAUGGGCUCAAACAAUAAUUGCAUCGAAGGAAUGUCACCGAUGUGAUCGGGGUAAUUGCGGUCGCAAAAAGGCUCACCGACUUUGUUUCCUCGGAGGACUUGAGGAAAAGGAAAUAAUCUUCAGGAAACUACCCUCCAAAAUAUUCUUGAGGGAAGGAGCUCGGGGGCAAACAAAGGAAGAAGAGUUCCCACAAAGGGCUAAGCUCAAAAGGCAAGGGCCCAAAACCUAGCGGAUGCUUCUUGUGCGGAGGGCCACACAUGGUGAGGGAGUGCCCACAGAAACAUACACUCAAUGCUUUAACAACUUCAAUCCACCCCCCAAAUCAAACAAAGGCAAGGUCGUCGCCCUCAGUUCAAGCAGUUCAGAAUCUAGUAGCGACGAUGAGAAGUUGCAAGGUCCCCAAAAGGGAGUAAUGCAUUUGUUGAAUGCAUUGCGAGGUCAAGUGGGGGAGAACAUGAAGGCAAAGCUAUUAAAAGCAGGGAGUAGAGAGCUAAUGUACGUGGACAUUAAGCUCAAUGGCCAAACAACCUGUGCAAUGGUAGACACGGGCACCACCCACAACUUCAUUGUCGAUCGAGAAGCAAAGCGACUUGGGUUGAUCUUGGAGAAUAACCCAAGUCGGAUGAAGGCAAUGAACUCGGAGGCUAAGCGGAUCUCUGGACUAGCAAAGGGAGUUUUCAUCAAGAUCGGGACAUGGAGCGAGAGCACAAACAUGAUGACGGUGCCACUGAAUGACUUCCAAGUAAUUCUCGGAAUGAAGUUCAUGCACGGAGUAAAGUUGGUGCCUAUGUCAUUUUUGAACUCCCUAUAUUUGAUGGGAGGCAACGACCCCUAUGUGGUUCUCAUCUCUCAGAGUGGAACCAAGGACCCCCAACAAAUAUCGAAAUUACAAUUGAAGAAAGGGGUACGAAAAGGAGAAUUAACCUUCGUGGCUGUUGUGAAGCUAGAGCCACUCGACAAGGAGAUCAUUUACAAACCUACUAUGUUGGUGAACAUUCUGAAGGAGUUUAUAGACGUUAUGCCACCUGAGUUGCCGAAAUGUGAAGCUGCAUUCCAAGAUCUGAAGGCUGUUGUGUUGGACGGACCGGUGCUCAAAUUGUCAGACUAUGGGGAGUCCUUCGAAGUCCAUAUAGAUGCUUCAAAUUUCGCUAUUGGGGGAGUACUCAUGUAAGAGGGUCACUCGGUGGCCUACGAGAGUCGCAAGCUCAACGAGACUGAGCGACGGUAUCUGGUGCAUGAGAAGGAGAUGACAGCGGUGGUCCAUUGUCUACGAAUUUGGCGGCACUACCUUCUCGGAUCGCGAUUUGUGUUAAGGACAGGCAACAUCGCUUUGAGCUAUUUCCAAACUCAAAAGAAACUCUCCCCAAAGUAAGUACGAUGGCAAGACUUCUUAGUUGAGUUUGAUAUGGCAAUGGAGUACAAGCCCGGAAAAGUAAAUGUCGUGGCCAACGUAUUGAGCAGGAAAGUGGAGCGAGUGAAUGUGAUACAGUUGGAAGGCAGAGGCCAAGUAAGUCAAUUUCACUCCAACUUCCUUUCCGGGAUCAGGGAUGGACUAUACAAUGAUCUUCAAGCAGUAACCCUGAUGCAGCUCAUCAAAGAAGACAAGGCAUGACAAUUCUGGGUCCAUGAGGGACUCAUUUACACAAAAGUGAAUAGAGUUUAUGUUCCUCAAGUGAACAAUUUGAGAAAUGAACUCUUGAGAGAGUGUCACGAUUCCCUUUGGGCUGGACAUCCGGGUAUUCACAGAACUUUAGCUCUCGUAGAGAGGGCCUUCUACUGGCCGAAGAUAGGGACUGAUGUGGAGGAAUAUGUUCGAACGUGCCUCACUUGCCAACAAGAUAAGGUGGAGUAGCGGAAGCCGGUGGGACUUUUAGAGAUGUUGCUCAUACCAGAAAGGUCAUGGGAGAGCAUUUCCUUGGACUUCAUAUCAAGCUCACUGACAAUAGGGGGACUCGGAUUGAUACUCGUGAUGGUCGAUCGAUUUUCAAAGUAUGCAACUUUCAUUGCUGCACUCAUAUCCUAUUCAGUAGAGGAGGCGACCAAGCUGAUGAUGAACAAUGUGGUGAAGUAUUGGGGAGUCCCGCACAAUAUCAUUAGUGAUCGAGACACUCGAUUCCUAUGACGAUUCUGGACUGAGCUAUUCAAAUUGUUGGGGUCUAAGUUAUACUUCUUAAUAAGCCUCCACCCUCAAACGGAUGGCCAAACCGAAAUGAUAAACUUACUCCUUGGGCAAUAUCUUCAACACUACGUGAGUGCCAACCAACGAGAUUAGGUGAAGCUAUUGGACAAAGUCCAAUUCUCCUAUAGCUUGUAGCAGAGCUCUACGUCCAACAAAAGCCCCUUCGAGAUCAUUACAGGACAACAGCCAUCAACUCCUCACACAUUGGCUAUCGGGUAUACCGGGAGUAGUUUGUCAGCAUAUCACUUUGUAAGAGAAUGACACCAAAAUACAGAUAUUGCGCGGGCUUACUUAGAGAAGGCGACCAAAAAGAUGAAGAAGUGGGCCGACUUGGGAAGGCGACCACAAGAGUUCAAAGUCAGCGAUUUGGUGUUGUUGAAGCUCCAACCAGUAUAACUCUAGUAUUUUAGGCAUAAAGUACACAAAGGAUUGGUGUGCAAGUAUGAAGGGUCAUUCCUAAUUAUCAGUAGAGUGGGCAAUGUCUCUUAUAAGUUGUAGCUACUGGCGUGACUCAAAAUUCAUAAUGUUUUUCACGCUAGCAACUUGAAAACCUACCACUCAGAUCUGCAAAAUGCUUCCCGAAGUGUUCCAACUCAGCUACCCCCCACCAGAGCCUCAUACGAGAAGUGAGUUGAAACCAUUUUAGCAGAUCGCAAGAUAAAGCUACCCAAUAGAGUUGAGCAGACCAAGUACUUGGUGAAGUGGUGAAAACUUUCCCGAAUUGAAGCUAGUUGGGAGCCCGAAGAUGCCCUAUGAUACGAAGAAGCAAUCAUCAACAAUUACUAACAAGUGUCGAUGAGGGCGUCAACUGUUUAAGUGGGGGAGAAGGUCACAAACGGUCAUCGCGCACCCGCAAUAAUUUCAUUCAACAAAUCGUUCAUCACUUUUGUAUGCUUGUACAGAGAUAUGACAACAUGUUUUGCUUUGCUUUUGUGUGUUUUUUCUUAGAAAAUAUAAGCAACGAUAGUUCGCAGCGCUGUAGCGCGAUCGCUCGUCGCAUCGGGCCGAAUUGCCCCAAAAUAGCUUCGUUUUCACGUGCUAUGAUUUGUUUUUUGCACGCCACAGUUGUACACGAAACAUUAGCCAUCUCAGCACCCUAGAACCCCCCGGGUGGCAUAGGGCUGGAUGGGGCUUCGAUAUAUUAUCGGGUGUUGAACAAUCUUCACAAGUUCACGCGUUUACUUGACGAGAACUUACCUUCGCGCCAAGCACCCGGUGAGCAGUUGUUUGUAGACUUGCAACUAUUUGUUCUACCUUCUAAAGUUCUUAUUUUUUUCUUCUCUCUCUUUUCUCUCUUGCACUCAAGGUACUUACUGAAUUGCUUAUAAAGUUUCCAUUUUCGCGAGACAUCGGGACUUGCAUGUCGCUUAUUUUCGAACUAAUCAACUUUCUCUUUUACAGGUCCUUCGGGACCUGAGUGAGGUUGCAAAUUGGCUAACCCUUUGUGGACGCAUAUAGCAAGGGCGUGCCAUGACUUAGGCAAUCCCAACUAUGUCCAAGAAGUUGACACAUGGGUGCUUCGCGACUUAGGCAACUCAAGCUAAGUUCACGACUUUGCCGCAAUGGUGCCUCAUGACUUUGGCAAUUCCAACUAAGUCUGUGAAACUAUGAAUGACUCGGAGGGCAUGUUAGGAAAGAGUCAGCACUAAGAGGGGGGGUGAAUUAGUGCAGUGGUAAAAAUUACUUCGGUUUCGAAAACUUUUCAUACGAAAAAAAAUCGAACUCGAAAAUGCUUAACUUGAAACACGUGUUCGUAAAUGUAUUGAAGGCAGUAAGCUAUUAAAGAGGUUUGUAGUAAAGAUAAAUUGCUCAAAGUAAAAUGCAAACCAGAUUUUAGAGUAGUUCGGUCGUCGUGACCUACAUCCACUUCGCCGAUUCCUCUUCCGUCGAGGCCAUCGGCAUCCACUAUCGAUCUUCCUUUAAUAGGCAAAGAUCAACCUCCUUCUUACACCCCUCUUCUUUUUUUACCGGGUUUAGGAGACAAUCCUUACAAGCACUCACUCCUCAUAAACAGAAUUCUAGACUUAGACUUAGAGGAGGGGAUUUCUCAAGUGAUUGCAAUAGCGUUUCUUCACUUUUAAACUCUUUGUGCUUGUGUAUGUUAACUAGGGAUAAGAGGGGUAUUUAUAGGCCUUAAGUUAAUUCAAACUUGGAGCUUAAAAACAUCUCAUCCCGAGUUUUCUAGGUCCGGGCGGUACCACCGCCAAUGUCAGUCUGACACUAACACUGCAUUGAGUGGUACCACUGCUUGCAGCCUCUUGGAGGCUGUGUCUGGGCAGUACCACCGCCCAGACCGGUGGUACCACCGUCUGAUAUAGUCUCGGAGAUUGUGCCACGACGGUGUCACAUCUUGGGGCACUGUUUGGUCCUUUUCAUUGGGCCCAACACAGUUCUUACAUGGGCCCAAUUGGCCCAUAAUUAGGUUGGCCCAAAUCCAAACCUAAUUAUAUGCUAACUACGAUUCCUAAGACAUACUUAAGCUAAACAAGUCCGUAAGUCUUGGUUUCUUCCGGCGAGCUUCUGGUGAUCUUCCGACGAACUUUCGAUGAUCUCUCAGCAAUGUUCUAGUGGACUCCCAGCAAGCUCCUGGACUUUACGACGAUCUUCUUGGCGAGUUUCGACGAGCUUCUCUGGCAAGCUCCAGGACUUCUCGGCAGAACUUCCAAUGAACUCUCGAACUCCCAAUGAAAUCACGUCCUUGACUCCGGGACUUCAUUUUGCUUCAUGCCUUGCUAUCGUAGUUAAUCCUGCACAUGUAAAAACACACUUCGAUCUAAACAAUUAAUAUUGCGCAUUAAUCAUGUUGUCCGGCAUGUCAUUGGUCCCUCGACGCUUCGUUUGAUUUUUUAGCGCAUCGUCCUCUCUUGCGGCCUAUUACCCAAUCGGCCAGUUGACUCUGCAACUCUGAUAUCCUUGGCGCAAUAUCUGCUCUUCUUGGCCCGAUGACCGAAUCCAUGGCCCGAAGCCUUUUGUCGAUAUGUCGACCAAUCCUUCGGCCCGACGUCCAAUCUUCUGACAUGUUUUCCUCCGACCCAACAUAAUUCUUCCUGCAUUAAUUAUCUCAUCCUGAUCGAAGCAUCCUGCAUCACACAAAACACAGAUCAAAUCAUAAACACUUAUCAAUUGGUUUCAUUACAAAGUACGAGAUUCAACAGGGCAGUGGUGGCAAGGAGGUGUAGGGAAAUCUAGGGUGACAUCACAUACACAGCGGAAUAACAUAAAACAAAAUCGUCAAUUUCCCAAAGAUGUGUUCAUCAUCGAGCGAAGAUUGGUGUACAAAAUUCACGAAACUUAAAACUGCGUAUGUUAAAGAUUAUGUUACCUAGGGAGAUCAUAUAUCCCUGAAUCCCUACAGAUCUCUAGGAUAGGGUGAAGGAGGUCAAGUGUCCUCCUCUCUAGUAGUGAUCUACAUAGUAGUACUAUGACGAUGCUUCUCAAAACUCCAGGCCUACUAUCUGAGGAGGAGAAGGGGAAGAGAAUAAGAGAUUGUUAGGAUCAAGAGUGGCACUAAGAGGAGGGGUGAAUUAGUGGAGCAUAAAACUUUCAUGAUUUCAAAAGACUUGUUUCGAUUAAAACUGAUUCCGACGAAAAUAGUUUUGAUUUAAUCCGUUUCAGAGAGAAUUUGAACUUGAAAGCUUUCAUAAAAUUAAAGCCGAUCUCGGAAGGUGUUUACUUGAAAGCGUACGUAGGCGUAGUAAAAGCACAAUAAGGAGGAGAGGUAGUUUGCUAUAAAAAUAAAUUUCUUAAAUUAAAUGCAAAUCGAGUUUUAGAGUGGUUCGGUCAAUGUGACCUACAUCCACUUUCAGAUUCCUCCUCCGACGAGGUCACCGGCGUCCACUAAAGACCUUCCUUCAAUAGGCGAAGACCGAACACCUCUUUACAACACUUUCUCCUUUUUUCGGGUUUAGGAGAUGAACUCUUACAAGUCUCACUUAUCUUUCUUGGGUGGUUACAAGGGUAAGAUAUGAAGGAGGAGAACUCUAACUUUUACUACACUUUAAGACUCAAGAACUCAAGAUUAAGCCAAUACUUUUGUGCCCUUUCAUGCAGAAAAGGACGGGGUUUUUAUAAGCCCCAAUGGCGUCAAAAAAUGAGCAAAAAAUUAUCUAAUCUCGGAUUUUCCGGGUCCUGGCGAUACCACCGUCAUUACUGGGCGGUGCCACCGCUUAACACCUGAUACUAGGCGAUACCACCACCUAGUCUAGGUGGUACCACCGCUUGAUAGAGCUCGGAGACCGAGCUCUAGCAAUACCACUACUGGCAGCAAUAACUACCAGCGAUACCACUACUGGCAGUAAUAACUGUCGGUGGUACCACCGCCCAGAUUUCCUGAGGCACUGCUUUCCAAGCGGUGCCACCGUCGGCCCUGGCGAUGCCACCGCCGGCUAAGAAUUCAAGGGUUGAAUUGGGUGCUCAAUUCAGCCCAAUUCAGCCCUGUUAAGGGCCCAAUUGGCCCCUAAUUAAGUUAGUGGGAUUAUCUCCCAAUCCUAAUUUAAUUUAUGCUCUAACUACGAUAAUUAAGACAUCUUUACUGCACUUUUUGUUCCGGUGCGUCAAUUGCUCUUCCGGCGAGCUUCCAGCGUACUUCCGACGAACAUCCGAUGAACUCUCGGCAAUGCUCCGACGGACUCCCGGCAAGCUCCUAGACUUUGCAACGAUCUUCUUAGUGAGUUCCGACGAGCUUCUAUGGCAAGCUCCUGGACUUCUCGAUUGGUUCUCGCAGAACUUUCGACGAACGUCCGGUCUUUCGUCGAACUAUCGAACUCCCAAUAAGAUCUCGAUCUUGACUCUGGCACAACACCUACUUUAUGUCUUACUGCCAUCAUAGUUAAUCCUGCAUACUUUUAUCAACAUAUUGAUUAGAUCAAACAAAUUACAAUUGACUUCAUCAUCAAAAUCCGAGAUUCAACAAUCUUCCCCUUUUUGAUGAUGACAAUCAAUUGAUGACGGAGUUAACCUUAACUCCCCCUAUCUAUAUGCCAUACUUAAGAAAAGACAUUCUUGAAUUCAAGGCCUUUGAAUUCAAGAGACAUAUUGAUAAGUUAAGUUCAUUUAAACUUAUCAAUACACACAUCAUGAUUCCUAUCAUGAUCUAACAUUCUGAAAAUGAUGUCAAGACAUGACAUCCAUUUUCAAGUAUGAUAUUUCAAAUAUGAAAGAUGACAAAGAUAGCAGUUCAUCAUUCUAUGGCAAGAUAUCAAUUUGUAAAAAUAGCAAGUUAAGCUCUAGAUAUCUUAUGAAAGAAAUUUAUUAAGCAAACAUUUCAAGUAUCUAUGAUGAAAUAUAUUGCUACAUUUGUCAUCAAUUUAUCACAUUAUGGUAUUAUUCCCCCCCCUUUGUCAUCAACAUAAAGGAGAACGAUUCAACAAUGCAAGUAUGGUAAAAAUUCAUGCCAUAUUUCAAUUUAUAUACUAAUCAUAUUUCAAGCAUUCGUGACAUGGUAUCAUUCAAAAGUUCUCCCAUUAAAAGUUACAAAUAUUAAAGAGAUAGCUUCCAUCAACUUCUCCCUUUUUAUUUUUCAUCAAAACUUCGCAUAAAGAAUGAGAGUAAGGAGGAAAAUCCAUUGAGAACCAACUUUGUGAAAUGAUUUUAAUCAAGUCAAAAACGAUAAAAGAGUUUCAUUAAAUGAUGCUUCAAUUUUCACAAGGAUCAAGAUAUUUAUGUGAAAUCAAAUCCUCACUCUUGCAAGUGUUCAUCUCAUACUAAAAAAAUCAUAAAAAUUCUUCCUUCAUUAAGAAAGAAUUCAUGUGAAAGAAUCAUCGGAUAAAAGAAAUUCCAAUAAAAGAAAUUCUAUGAAUGAUCACAUCAAAUCAAUUUCUCAUUAAAAAUUUACAAGAGAUAAACCCGUGAGAGAUGCAUUUGUCAAUGAAAUCUAUGAAGUGAUAAAAAAUCAUUAAGUAUUGGAGCAAGGGUAUUAAGUAAACUUGAUAUGGCAUAGACUUAUGAAAGCUCCAUUCAAGGAAUACAUUAAGUGAAAGAUAGUAAGAAAAGAUAUAUAUUAAAUUCAUGUAUUCGGACAAAUUAAGAUUCCUAAUUCUCUUCUAAUAAAAUCAAAUUGUUCUUCACUUAAAGGCUUUGUAAAAAUAUUGACUAAUUGAUGUUUUGUAUUAAUAAACUUUAGGAUUACAUCAUGAUUAUUAACAUGAUCUCAUAUAAAGUGAUGCCUAAUAUCAAUAUGUUUAGUUCUAGAGUGUUGAAUAGGAUUUUUUAUUAAACAUAUUGCACUUGUGUUAUCACAUUUUAUAGGAAUGUUUUUAAGAUGAAUCUUAUAAUCCUCUAAAGUAUUUUUCAUCCACACAACUUGUGCACAAUAUACACUAGCUGCAAUAUACUCAGCUUCGGUUGUAGAUAGUGCAACCGAGUUUUGUUUCUUGGAUGACCAAGAAACAAGUGUAUGUCCUAAAAACUGACAUAUUCCGAAUGUGCUCUUUCUAUCUAAUCUACAUCCUACAAAGUCCACAUCGGCAUAUGCAAUUAGUUCAAACUUCUCAGAUUUUAGAUACCAUAAUCCUAGAUUAGUGGUACCUUUAAGAUAUCUAAGAAUUCUCUUAGCUGCUUUAAGAUGAGAUAUCUUAGGAUUAGAUUGAAACCUAGUACAAAAACAUACACUAAACAUGAUAUCCGGUCUAGUUACGAUGAGAUAUAGUAGACUUCCUAUCAUACCCCUAUAAGCUUUUUAAUCAAAGCUUUCUCUACUUUUAUCAAUGUCUAACUUAGUGGAGGUACUCAUGGGAGUAUUGAUAGCUUUUGAGCUAUCCAUAUUAAACAUUUUUAGCAAAUCUAAAGCAUAUUUUGUUUGACUAAGAAAGAUGUCAUUGCUUAGUUGUUUGAUUUGUAAGCCUAAAAAGAAGGUUAAUUCUUCCAUUAAACUCAUUUCAAAUUUAAGACUCAUACUUUUAGCAAAUGAAUUCAUAAAGAGAUUCAUCCGUGGAACCGAAAAUAAUAUCAUCAACAUAAAUUUGAACAAUAAGAAAAUUAUUUUUAAAAUUUUUGAUAAAUAAUGUAGUAUCGACCUUGCCUUUAGAGAAAUUAUUUUCAAUAAGAAAUAAACUAAAUCUCUUAUACCAAGCCCUUGGGGCUUGUUUUAAACUAUAGAGAGCUUUAGUCAAUUUAAACACAUGAUUAAGGAGACUAUCAUUCUCAAAUCUGGGAGGUUGUUCAACAUAAAUUUCUUCGAAAAUAAAGCCAUUAAGAAAAGUACUUUUAACAUUCAUUUGAAAAAACUUAAAAUUAUUACUACUAGCAUAGGCAAGGAGCAUCCUUAUGGCUUCUAAUCGAGCCAUAGGAGCGAAGGUCUCUUCAUAAUCGAUACCUUCUUCUUGGUUGAAACCUUUGGCCACUAAUCUAGCCUUGUAUCGAAACACAAUACCAAAUUCAUCUUGCUUGUUUCUAAAGACCCAUUUAAUACCAAUAACUAAAUGGUCAUUUGGUCUAGGAACAAGCUUCCACACCUCAUUUCUCUCAAAUUGAUUUAACUCUUCUUACAUUGCAAUGACCCAUGAAUCAUCUUUCAUGGCCUCGUCAAUGCAUUUAGGUUCAAUUUGGGAGAGAAAAGCGGCGUUGGAACAAAAUUUUUUAAGAGAAGAACGAGUUUGAACCCCUUUCGAUGUUUCUCCAAUAAUUAGCUCCUUAGGAUGAGUAUCUACAUACUUCUAUUCCUUCGGUAAAGAAGGUUCGGAAGAAGAUGUAUCCAAAUUGGUAUUUGGAGAAUGGGUUUCAUUGAAAUUCAAAGCGUCAAAAUCAAUAUCAUCAUCAAGUUCAUUUUUCUUAACUUCGGAAAUUUCAUUAAAAACAACAUGAAUGGAUUCUUCUAUAAUCAAAGUUCUUUUGUUAAAGAUACGAAAUGCUUUUAAAAUAAAGGAAUAGCUAAGAAAAAUUUCUUCAUCGGAUUUUGCAUCAAAUUUAACUAAGGCAUCUUUUCCAUUCAAAAUAAAAUAUUUACAUCCAAAAACUUUAAAGUAUCAAACAUUGGGUUUUUUGUUGUUCCACAACUCAUAAGGAGUCUUGGAAAGUAGUGGUCUUACUAGAACCCUAUUCCUAACAUAGCAUACUGUAUUUAUGGCUUUGGCCCAAAAAUAUUUGGGUAGGCUAUGUUCAUUCAACAUGGUUCUUACAAUUUCUUGUAAAUUUCAAUUCUUUCUUUCUACUACUCCAUUUUGUUGAGGAUUUCUUGGAGUAGAGAAGUUGUGGUUGUAUCUAUUAGAUUUAUAAAAUUCUUGGAAAUCAUAGUUUUGAAAUUCACUAGCGUGAUCACUUCGAAUUGACGAAAUCAUAAAACAUUUUUCAUUUUGAACAAGUUUACAGAAAUUAAAGAAAUACCUAAAGCAUUCACUUUUGUGUACCAAAAAAUAAGUCCAUGUGUAUCUACUAUAAUUAUCCACGAUAAUUAAUGCGUAUUUGCUACCUCCUAGGCUUGAUGUAGCAAUUGGUCCGAACAAGUCCAUAUGGAUCAAUUGCAAAGGUCUAGAGGUACUUAUUUGGUUCUUAGGUUUGAAGCUACAUUUUAUUUAUUUUCCCAGUUGACAUGCAUCACACAUAUUAUCUUUGACGAACUUGAUAUGAGGAAUUUUUCUUACAAGUUCUUUAGAUGAAAUUUGAGAGAUUAGUUUCAUACUAGUAUGACCUAUUCUCCUAUGCCAAAGCCAAGCAUCGUCAUUCAAAAUUGAAAAGCACAUUUCAUUACAAAGAUCAUUAAUCUCGAUAGUGGAUACAUUAUUUUAUUUUAGGACAAUCAUAGAUGUGUUUUUGUAUGGUUUUUCAAUAAUAUAAACUUUAGAUUCAAAUCUAACGAUAUAUCCUUUAUCAUAUAAUUGACUAAUACUCAAAAGGUUAUGCUUUAAACCAUCAACUAACAAUACAUCUUCAAUAAGAAGGUUGGAUUUGUUACCUAUGGUUUCUUUGCCAAUGAUUUUACCCUUGUUGUUGUCUCCGAAAGUCACAUAUCCUUUGUCUAGGCUAGUGAGCUUAGAGAAAUGAGAUGGAUCUCCGGUCAUAUGCCUUGAGCAUCCACUAUCAAGGUACCAUCUCUUGCUCCUAGCUUAUGAUGGUAUAUUUUUCUACAAAAAGAGAUGAUUUUUAGGUACCCAUUUGACCUUGGGUGCCUCAAAAAUCAAUCUACAUAGCUUAUCAUAUUGCAUUGAGUCACUUGAGGUUCUUUUAGGAACCCAAAUCAAUCUACAUAGACAACAUUUAUUGAAUGGAUAAUGAUAAGCUACAUGCCCAAAUUUGCAACAAAAGUUGCAUUUGUUUCGGGGUGAGACAUGCAAAGUAGGACCUUUAACAAAGGUGGUUGGAUUUUGGUGAGAGCUACUCACGAAUCCAAUUCCGUAUUUUCUAUGAACGUGACCCUUAUUGGCAAGGAUCAUGUUCAAUGAAUUGCUACCAACCUUAAAUUUUUUUAAGGUUUCCUUGAUUAGCAAGUUAUCCUUUCUAAGUAUUUCUAGUUCAUCACAUUUCGUACAUGGAGCUAAACUAUCAUUGUGCUCAACUUUUAAACUAUCGAAAUCAUUAACAAGAGAAGCAUGCUCCUUUUUUAAUAAUUUAUAUUUUCUACUAAUUAAUUUGUAUUCAUCAAAUAAAUCAUGAAAAGCAUUUAAUAAUUCAUCAAAGGAUAAAUUUGCAUCAAAUGAACUUGUUACCUCAUCUCCAAUGGCCAUUAGUGCAUAAUGAGCAACUUGCUUGGUGAUGGUAGGCUCCUCUUUUUCGGAAGCACUUGAGUCGUCCCAUGUAGCUUUGAGAGCCUUCUUCUUUGGUUGUCUCCUCUUUGCGUGGGGACAUUCACUCUUGAAGUGUCCUGGCUUCUUGCAUUCAUAACAUAUCACUUGUUCUUUCUUAGGUUUAAAUUUAUUUUUAGUAUCAUUUUUAAAUUUAUUUCUUUUUAUGAAUCUUUUGAACUUCUUUGUUAAGAGUGCCAAGUCAUCAUCAAAGUCCUCAUCACUUGAGUUUUCUUUCAAGUGGUCUUCUUGUGUUCUCAGUGCUAUGUCCUUCCUGUUAUUUGGAAAGGUGUCCUCAAGCUCUUCAUAAGCUUUACAUGUUAUUUUAUAGGUCAUUAGUAACCCAAUUAGUUCUUCAAGAGGAAAAUUAUUUAGAUCUUUGGCUUCUUGAAUGACCGUUACUUUAGGAUCCCAACUCUUUGGAAGGGAUCUUAAAACUUUAUUAACGAGUUUAAAAUCCUAGAAACCUUUACCAAGUCCUUUUAGACUAUUGACGAUAUCCGUAAAUCAGGUGUACAUGUCUCCAAUGGUCUCACUCGAUUUUAUUUGAAACAACUCAUAAGAAUGCACUAAAAGAUUAAUUUUUGACUCCUUCACUCUACUAGUACCUUCAUGAGUCACUUCAAAUGUGUGCUAAAUGUCAAAAGCCAUUUCACAAACUGAUACUCGAUUAAACUCGUUUUUAUCUAAUGCACAAAAUAAGGCAUUCAUAGCCUUUGCAUUUAAAGCGAAAGUCUUCUUCUCCAAUUCAUUCCAAUCGUUCAUUGGAAGAGAAAACUUUUGAAAGCCAUUUUCUAUAAUAUUUCAUAAUUUGAAAUCCAUUGAAAUUAAGACAAUCCUCAUUCUCGUCUUCCAAUAUAUGUAAUCCGUCCCAUUGAACAUGGGCGGACGUGUAAUUGAAUGACCCUCUAGGUUGCCGACAAAUGUCAUCUCUCUUGGUUUAAAACCAAAUGAGAGUGAAUCUUGCUCUGAUACCAAUUGUUAGGAUCAUGAGCGGAACUAAGAGGGGGGGUGAAUUAGUGCAGUGGAAAACUUUCACGAUUUCAAAAGACUUGUUUCGAUUAAAACUGAUUCUGACGAAAAUGGUUUCGAUUUAAUCUGUUUCGGAGAGAAUUUGAACUUGAAAGCUUUUGUAAAAUUAAAGCCAAUCUCAGAAGGUGUUUACUUGAAAGCAUAUGUAGGUGUAGUAAAAGCACAGUAAGGAGGAGAGGUAGUUUGCUAUAAAAGUAAAUUGCUCAAAGUAAAUACAAACCGAGUUUUAGAGUGGUUCGGAUAAUGUGACCUACAUCCACUUUCGGAUUCCUCCUCCGACGAGGUCACCAGCGUCCACUAAAGGCCUUCCUUCAAUAAGUGAAGACUGAACACCUCUUUACAGCACUUUCUCCUUUUCCCGGGUUUAGGAGAUGAACCCUUACAAGUCUUAAUCCUCUUUCUUGGAUGGUUACAAGGCUAAGAGAUGAAAGAGGAGAACUCUAAUUUUUACAACACUUUAAGACUCAAGAACUCAAGAUUAAGCCAAUACUUUCAUGCCCUUUCAUGCAGAAAAGGGUGAGGUUUUUAUAGGCCCCAAUGGCUUCAAAAAUGGAGCAAAAAAUUAUCUAAUCCCAGAUUUCCGGGGUCUUGGCGGUACCACCGCCAUUAUUGGGCAGUAUCACCACCUAACACUUGACACUAGGCGGUACCACUGCCUGAUAGAGGCGGUACCACUAUUGGCAACAAUAACUGUCGGCGGUACCACCGCCCAGAUUUCCUGGGGCAUUGCUUUCCAAGCGGUGCCACCGUCGACCAAGAAUUCAAGGGCUGAAUUGGAUGCUCAAUUCGGCCCAAUUCAGCCCUAUUAAGGGCCCACUUGGCCCCUAAUUAAGUUAGUAGGAUUAUCUCCCAAUCCUAACUUAAUUUAUGCUCUAACUAUGAUAAUUAAAACAUGUUUACUAUACUUCUUGUUCCAAUGUGUCAAUUGCUCUUCCGGCGAGCUUUCGGCGUACUUUCGGCGAACAUCCGACGAACUCUCGGCAAUGCUCCGACGGAGUCCCGGUAAGCUCCUAGACUUUGCCACGAUCUUCUUGGCGAGUUUCGAUGAACUUCUAUGGUAAGCUCUUGGACUUCUCGGUUGGUUCCCGUAGAACUUCCGACGAACGUCCGGACUUCCGUCGAACUCUUGAACUCCCAAUGAGAUCUCGAUCUUGACUCCGGCACAACACCUGCUUUAUGUCUUAUUGCUAUCAUAGUUAAUCCUGCACACUUUUCUCAACAUAUAUAUUAGAUCAAACAAAUUACAAUUGACUUCAUCAUUAAAAUCCGAGAUUCAACAGAGAUGACAACCCAAAGAGUCUCUAGCCUAUGAAUUAUUGGUUCUCUCCUAUUUAUAGAGGUCCCUUAUCAACUUAACUCUAAUGGAUCCUAUCUUAUUAGGUAUCGGUUCUCUAUACAACUACCAAAGCCUCUUAGAUUAUUGGAUCUCUAUCCAAUAAUCUCUUAUUGGCUCUUAUUGAAUCUUAUCCAUAAGAUCCAAUGAUUCAAGGGCUUAUUCUAUAUCCAAUAAGAUAGAGGCUCCGACGGAUAUCUCAUAUCCAAACUUCUACUCAUCGCAAUACCUACCAUAUAUAUGUGACCCUCUAGGCCCAAUAUCGAGUUGGCCAUGAGUCAUACAUGUCAAAACUCCUUCUGGCUCAGUGAAUUAUUAUCUCUAUAAUAAUUCACUCGACUUAUCAACUAUGGACGUACUAGGCCACUACGUUGUAGUCCCCAAACGAUAUAGGGGAAUCCAAUCGAUUGGACUUGUCUAUCCUCAGUUACCAUAUACAUAUAGUCCCUCAUCCAUCUAAUAUCCCAAAGACCAUACACUAGGCAUGGUGUUAUCAAACCCGUGUGGUUUCUACUCGAGUCUCGCUCUAAUCGGAUUUUCCCGAAGAACUCUUUCUCUCCCAAUUCGAAUGACCCUGGUUAGGGAUUUGUUUGAGCAAGAAUACAUGGGAUAUUUCUCUCAUGACACCGAGAGUGGAUGUUUAAAGGUGAAUCGAUCUCAUUAUCGUGAUCUCAUCACGAUUUGAUUUCCAUUGCACAGAUCCAUGGAUAUCAUAAUAUACGACAAGCAACAUGUAAUAUAAAGUAAGAAAAUACCAAAUAAUAAUAAGAAAAAAGACUACUUGUCAAGUCACAUGUGCCAUCACUCAUGUGAUUGGCUUACAGGGCACAUAUAGCUAGCAAUCCCCCACUUGACUUAAAGCCAAUCAUCGAUGUGUCUGAACCCCAUCAGACCCCUGUGAUGCUCAAAAAUAAUUUGAGACAAUGGUUUUAUUAGUGGAUCUGCAAUAUUAUCGUUGGAUGAAACUCUUUCCACUGCUACAUCUCCUCGAGCCACGAUCUCUCUAAUAGGCUAGAACCUCCUAAGAACACUUCUGAUGAGACUCAGGUUUCCUCAUUUGAGUAAUUGCCUCAUUAUUAUCGCAAUAUAAGAGAAUAAGCUCCUCGCUGCUCGACAUGACUCCUAGAUCUAUGAUGAACUUCUUCAUCUAGACUCCCUCCUUUGGUACAUGGUAACUAAGGACAGAUAUGUCCAAAGGAUUGAAUUCCCAUGUAUUGUCUAGGGACUACGGCGUAGUGGCCUAGUACGUCCGUAGUCGAUGAGUCCAGUGAAUUAUUAUUGAGAUAAUAAUUCACUAAGCUAGAAGGAGUUCUGACAAGUAUAACUCACACCCAACUUGAUAUUGGGCCUGGAGGGUCACGCACUUAUGGUAGGUGUUGCAACGAGUAGAGAUUCGGAUAUAAGAUAUCCGUUGGAGCCCCUAUCUUAUUGGAUAUCCAAUAAGCCUCGGAAUUAUUGGAUCCCAUGAAUGAGAUCCAAUAAGAGAUAAUAAGAGAUUAUUGGGUAGAGAUCCACUAAUAUAAGAGGCUUGGGUAAUUAGAUGAAGAUCCAAUACCUAAUAAGGCAGGAUCCAUUAGGAUUAACCAGGGGCCUCUAUAAAUAGGAGGGAACUAAAGGCCCAUAGGCUGGGGCUUCUUGGGUGCCACCUCCUAUUCUCCUCUCUCCUUCUCCUCUUUAGAGAGUAGGCCUGAAGAUUUGAGGAGCAUCGUUGCAGCUCUGCUGUGUGGAUCACCGCUAAAGAGGAGGAUGCUUGACCUCCUUCAUCCACUCCUACAUAUCUGUAGGAAUUUAGGGAUAUACGAUCUCCUAAGGUAACACAACUAUCUCACACAUGUUUUCUGUGUCGUGGAUUUUAUACACCAAUGUUCGCAUGACGACAAACACGUAUUGGGAAAUUUAGGAUUUUUUUUUUAUGUUCUUCCGCUGUGCAAGUGAUGUCGACCCUAGAUUUCCCUACAUUAGCCACUAGCAUUGCUUUAUAGGUCUCUACCUUUCCAUCUACUCUGAUCUUCUUCUUGAAUAUCCACUUGCAACCGAUGGGUAGAAUACCCUCGGGUGCAUCAACUAGGUUCCAAACUUAGUUGGAGUACAUUGAAUCCAUAUCAGAAUUCAUGGCUUCUUACCACUUCUUAGAGUCUAUACUCAUAAUAGCCUCCUUGUAGGUAUGUGGAUCAAUAUCCUCUCAUCUAAUAUGUCCCACAUAUCUCUCAGGAGGAUGAGAUACUCUAUCGGACCUACGUAAAGUCGGAACUUGUGUGCUAGGUACCUGAACGGACUCGAGCUGUAUAGUGGUGCUUGAGCUAAGUUCUCCAACCUCACUCAACUCUAUCAUGCUCCCAUUGUCUCCGCUAAGAAUGUUUUCUUUCUCAAGGAACAUCGUUCUCUUGGCUACAAAGACCUUUUGGUCCUCGGGUGAUAGAAAUAAUAACCACAAGUUUCCUUGGGGUAUCCCACGAACUUGCACUACUCCAUCCUUGAUUCCAACUUAUCGGGGUUGUCUUUUAACGUGGGCAGGGUAGCCCCAAAUCUUAACAACCUUAAGAUCAUACUUCUUCCCUUUCUAUAUCUCAAAUGGUGUAGACACUACCAUCUUAGUUGGAACUCUGUUUAGAAGGUAAGCUAUGGCCUCUAGGGCGUAACCCCAAAAUAAGAUGGGGAGGUUGGCGAAGCUCAUCAUGGACCGCACCAUGUCUAAUAGUGUACGAUUCCUCCUUUCAAAUACACUAUUGAGUUGAGGUGUAUAAAGAGGUGUCCAUUGGGAUAGGAUCUCAUGGUCUUUAGGGAACUGUGUGAACUCUGUACUCAAGUACUCACCUCCUUAAUCUGAUCAAAGAGUCUUGAUACUCUUUCCAGUCUGGUUCUCUACUUUAUUCUUAUACUCUCUGAAUUUCUCAAAGACCUCAGACUUGUACUUCAUCAAGUACAUAUGUCCAUACCUUGAGAAACUAUGAGUAAAAGUAAUAAAGUAUGAGUAACCACCUAUGGCAUGAGUUGAUAUGGGUCCACAUACAUUACUAUGUAUGAGUUAUAGUAGCUCAAUGGCUCUCUCUCCAGUUCUACAAAAAGGAGAGUUGGUCAGUUUUCCAUGAAGGCAAGGCUCACUAGUACAUAUGACUCAGUCGAAUGAAUCUAGAUAUCCAUCCUUUAGCAACUUUUGAAUCCUUCCCUCAUGGAUGUGACCUAGCCUACAAUGCUAUAGGUAUGCAUUAUUCACCUCAUCUCGUUUCCUCUUGGACACUCUUACAUUCAUGAUAUGUGGAGCAGUAUCUAGUAUAAACAAACUGUUAUGCAAUGUUCCUCUCGUGAUGAUCUCAUCAUCUAAUAUUAUUGAACAAUCAUUGUUCUUAAAAACUAAUUCAUUUCCACUAAUUGUCAAACAUGAAAUAGAAAUAAUAUUUUUGAUAAUAGAAGGAACAAAAUAACAUGCAUCCAAUGCAAUAAUAGCUCCACUAGGCAGAUGUUGGGUGACCUCGCCAAUAGNNNNNNNNNNNNNNNNNNNNNNNNNNNNNNNNNNNNNNNNNNNNNNNNNNNNNNNNNNNNNNNNNNNNNNNNNNNNNNNNNNNNNNNNNNNNNNNNNNNNNNNNNNNNNNNNNNNNNNNNNNNNNNNNNNNNNNNNNNNNNNNNNNNNNNNNNNNNNNNNNNNNNNNNNNNNNNNNNNNNNNNNNNNNNNNNNNNNNNNNNNNNNNNNNNNNNNNNNNNNNNNNNNNNNNNNNNNNNNNNNNNNNNNNNNNNNNNNNNNNNNNNNNNNNNNNNNNNNNNNNNNNNNNNNNNNNNNNNNNNNNNNNNNNNNNNNNNNNNNNNNNNNNNNNNNNNNNNNNNNNNNNNNNNNNNNNNNNNNNNNNNNNNNNNNNNNNNNNNNNNNNNNNNNNNNNNNNNNNNNNNNNNNNNNNNNNNNNNNNNNNNNNNNNNNNNNNNNNNNNNNNNNNNNNNNNNNNNNNNNNNNNNNNNNNNNNNNNNNNNNNNNNNNNNNNNNNNNNNNNNNNNNNNNNNNNNNNNNNNNNNNNNNNNNNNNNNNNNNNNNNNNNNNNNNNNNNNNNNNNNNNNNNNNNNNNNNNNNNNNNNNNNNNNNNNNNNNNNNNNNNNNNNNNNNNNNNNNNNNNNNNNNNNNNNNNNNNNNNNNNNNNNNNNNNNNNNNNNNNNNNNNNNNNNNNNNNNNNNNNNNNNNNNNNNNNNNNNNNNNNNNNNNNNNNNNNNNNNNNNNNNNNNNNNNNNNNNNNNNNNNNNNNNNNNNNNNNNNNNNNNNNNNNNNNNNNNNNNNNNNNNNNNNNNNNNNNNNNNNNNNNNNNNNNNNNNNNNNNNNNNNNNNNNNNNNNNNNNNNNNNNNNNNNNNNNNNNNNNNNNNNNNNNNNNNNNNNNNNNNNNNNNNNNNNNNNNNNNNNNNNNNNNNNNNNNNNNNNNNNNNNNNNNNNNNNNNNNNNNNNNNNNNNNNNNNNNNNNNNNNNNNNNNNNNNNNNNNNNNNNNNNNNNNNNNNNNNNNNNNNNNNNNNNNNNNNNNNNNNNNNNNNNNNNNNNNNNNNNNNNNNNNNNNNNNNNNNNNNNNNNNNNNNNNNNNNNNNNNNNNNNNNNNNNNNNNNNNNNNNNNNNNNNNNNNNNNNNNNNNNNNNNNNNNNNNNNNNNNNNNNNNNNNNNNNNNNNNNNNNNNNNNNNNNNNNNNNNNNNNNNNNNNNNNNNNNNNNNNNNNNNNNNNNNNNNNNNNNNNNNNNNNNNNNNNNNNNNNNNNNNNNNNNNNNNNNNNNNNNNNNNNNNNNNNNNNNNNNNNNNNNNNNNNNNNNNNNNNNNNNNNNNNNNNNNNNNNNNNNNNNNNNNNNNNNNNNNNNNNNNNNNNNNNNNNNNNNNNNNNNNNNNNNNNNNNNNNNNNNNNNNNNNNNNNNNNNNNUAUAUAUACGAUGUAGAUGUAUAUUAAAUAUGUAUGUGUAUGACAUAUCAUAUUAGGAGACCAAAUCAAAGAAACGCCUCUCUCGACAAUAUUAAGUUGGUAAACGUGAGACAAUUAGAUUGAUUCACGUGGCCUUCUAUCAUUAUAGGUAGGGACCGAUUCUCGGUGUAGGUUGAGUUGGUCGAGUCCCUCGAGGCUCACCUAUAUCACGAUUCGCUAUCUUGUCUAUGACAUAGAGAUGUCACCGGUGACCUAAGGACAUGGUAUGCUUGGUCGAGUCUUUCGAGGGUAUAUCAUUAAAUCAAACUCAUCUUGUAACGAUAGUGUUGACUUAACAAACAUAAUAGUUAGUCGAGUCCCUUGAGAUCAUGGUGAUUUGGAGGCCGAACAGGAUGAGAAUCAUAAGGAGUUGUGAUUGGCAAGAGUUGCCUACUAUUCGGUCUUAGCAUGAUUGGUCAAGUCCCUCAAGGUUACACUAAGAUGCUGAUUGGAUCCUGAUCCCCAUUAGAAGUAUGCCGGAGACUUUCGUUUCACGUGCUAAGGGUGUCGCGUGACUCGUUAGUAAAAUAGUAUAAGCAUAUUAAGAUAGAAGUCCAUAUCUUGAUUAUUUAUUUUUUUACAAAAUAUGCAUAUUUUUUUAUUUCUACUACAUCUUUAUUUUCAGAAAAUGUCGCUUUCAAAUCCAUUACAUGGCAUACUUGAUGUCAACCGCCUCACUGGUCCUAAUUAUACAGAUUAACUUUGCAGCUUGAGAAUUAUUCUCACGACAGAGAAAAUCACAUACGUUCUUGAUACAAUGAUGCCUAUGCCCGAGGAAGGGGCAAGCGAGGAUGAGAUCGCUCGCUACGUGAAGUACAUUGAUGACUCCACUCUUGCUCAAUAUUACAUGUUGAGCUCCAUGAUUCCUAAGUUACAAAGACAGCAUGAAAAGAUGGAUGUCAAAUCCAUUCUCUAACAUGUCUGUAAAUUGUUUGAGGAAUAGGGAAGGACACAACUAUAUGAUAUAUCUAAGAGUCUAUUCUGUGCUAGGAUGACUAAGGGGACACCGGUUUAGAACCAUGUCCUAAAGAUGAUUGAGUGGAUAGAGAAACUCACAUGUCUAGGAAUGGUCCUAGAGGAUAUCAUAUUUGUGGAUCUUGUGCUUCAGUCCCUACCAGAUUCCUUUUCACAGUUCAUAAUAAAUUUUAAUAUGAACAAGUUUAAGGUGACUCUCCCGGAGCUCUUCAAUAUGUUGAGGGAGGCAGAGAGCACUAUCAAGAAAGAAAAGUCAAUUCUCUACACCAGUGAGACUAGAAAGAAAAGGAAAGUAAAAAAUUCUCUUUAAAAGAGCAAGGGCAAGAGUAGACUAGGUAAAGCAAAGGUUACAAAGAAAGACCCAACAAAGUGUUAGGAUCAAGAGCACUAAGAGGGGGGAGGGGGAGUGAAUUAGUGCAGCAAAAAACUUUCGACGAUUUAAAAUGACGUUCGUACGAUGAAAUCAUUUUCGACGUAAAACCAUUUUCGAAAACUUAACUUGAAAGCGAGUUCGUAAAGGAGUGCAGCAAAAGUAAUGAGGAAGUAAAGCACAUAUGGAGGUUUUCAGUAAGGUAAGCAGCAAGAAUAAAUGCAAACCAGAGAGCAACGUAAUUUUAGAGUGGUUCAGUCAAUCUUGACCUACAUCCAUUUUGGCUUCCUCCUCCGACGAGGUCACCGACGUCCACUAGAGGCCUUCCUUCAAUAGGCGAAGGCCAACCACUUUUUUAUAGUUUCACUUCUUUUGACGGGCUUAGGAGACAACCCUUACAGAAUUUUCACUCAUCUCUUGAAUGAUCGAAACUUAGAAGAAAAGAGGGAGGAGAACUUUUAGCUUUUACAACACUUUUGAGCUCUCAAAUUCUCAGAAUAAGAUCAAGAUUUUGGUGCCCUUUCAGGCAGGAAAGGGUGGGGUUUAUAUAGGCCCCAACUGGUUCAAAUUUGGAGCUCAAAAAUGUCAUCUCCCGGAUUUCUGGGGUCCUAGCGGUACUACCACCAGACUGGGCGGUACGACCACCUGACAGAGCUCGGAGACCGAGCUCUGGCAGUACCACCACCUGACAGGGGCGAUACCACCGCCCAGUCUCGCUCAGAGACUGAGCCCAGGCGGUGCCACCACCUGACUGGGGCGGUUGCACUGCCCAGCUUUCCUGGGAGACUAAGCUCCUAAGCGGUGCCACCGUCGACCCAGGCAGUGCCACCGUCUACCCAAGCGGUGCCACCGUCGGCCAAGAAAUCUGGGUCCGAAUGGGCUAAUCCAUUCGUCCCAAUUUGGGUCUAUCAAGGGCCUAAUUGCCCCCGGAUUAAGUUAAUGGGAUCAUCUCCCAUUCCUAGCUUAAUCUACAUGCUAACUACGAUAUUUCUUAAGACAUUUACUGCAACUUGCUCCGGUGCAUCAAUCGCUUCUUCCGGAGAGCUUCCGGCGAACUUCCGACGAACAUCCGACGAACCCUCGACGAUGCUCCGGUGGACUUCCGACCAACUCCUGGACUUGCGACGAUCCACUUGGCGUUUCAACGAGCUUCUUUGGCAAGCUCAUGGACUUCUCGGAUUUGUUCCCGCAGAACCUCCGACGACCGUCCGGACUUCCGUUGAACUCUCGAACUCCCAACGUGAUCAUGGUCUUGACUCCGGCGUAACUCCUACUACAUGUCUUACUUCCAUCGUAGUUAAUCCUGCACACUUAUCUCAACAUAUAGAUUAGAUAAUAAAUGACAAUUGACUUCAUCAUCAAAAUCCGAGAUUCAAUAAUCUCCCCCUUUUUGAUGAUGACAAUCAAUUGAUAAUGGAGUUAACCUUAAUUCCCCCUAUCUAUAUGCCAUAUUUGAGAUAAGUCAUUCUUGAAUUCAAAGCCUUUGAAUUCAAGAGACAUAUUGAUAAGUUAAGAUCGUUUAACCUUAUCAAUACUCCCAUCAUGAUUCCUAUCAUGAUGUAUCUCUCUGAAAAUGAUGUCAAGGCUUGACAUCCAUUUUCAGGUUUUACAUUUUAAGUGUGAAAGAUAGCAAUCAUAGCAAUUCAUCAUAUGGUAAGAUAUCAAUAUGUAAAACUGCGAUGUAAGUUCUAGAUAUCUUAACAUAGUGUAAAUAUGACAAUAACAUAGUGCAAAUAUGGCAUAGUGCAAAUAUGGCAAUCAUAGCAAUUCUAUCACCAAUUUAUCAUAUAUUUCGAUGCAAGCUUUUGAUAUCUUAACAUAAUUCAAAUUCAAAUAUGGCACUCAUAGCAUCAAUUUAUAUAGCAUUAAAUUCAAAUAUGGCACUCAUAACAUCAAUUCAUAUAUUUCUCAUUCAAAUAUAGCACUCAUAGUAUCAAUUUAUAUAUUUCUCCCCCUUUGUCAUCAACAAAAAGGAGAACGAUAUUAGUAAAUUUUAACUAGGUUUAUGUCAUUUUUCAAUAAUGAGUUAUAGGAUACCAAUUAUACAAACUUCUCAAGGAAAACAUGACAUGGAGAUGACUUUCAUUACUUCUUCCUCUUUAUUUGUUAUUAUCUUUUUGCAUGAAGGAGGAAAGCCAUUUGUGAGCUUACUCGAAUGAGGUUAAAAUUGAUAAGAUAUUAAAGCACGCGUUAUUUUUGCAAGAAUCAAGAUAUGUGUGUGAAUCAAAUCCUUGCACGUAUAACUAUUUCUCAAAAGAUAUAAGAAGGAAUUGUCAAAUCCAUUUCUCGAAAGAUAUUUUUCACAUGAUAACUCUAUGAGAGAUGCAUUUGCUAGUUAAUCCCAUAUGUCAAAAAUCAAUGAUGUGAAUCCAAAACUUGAUAUGACAUAUGUUUAUUAAGUUCGGAAGAGAAUAAUGUAUUAAGAAAAUCCGAUUGUUAGGAUCAAGAAGAUCCGAAAAUGAAAUUUAACACUUUCAUGCAUUCGGACGAGGUUUUGCUAUAGAUUUUUAAAUUCAAAAAUGAAGAUAAAAUAUGCUUAUUAUCAUGAAAAUUUUUAUAUCCAAAACACAUAAUUUCCAACAUGUAAUUAAGGCAUGUAAUUGUGUAAAAUCAUCAUGGCAAUUAAGUGAUUUGAUCAUUUAAUUAAAAAAAAUCUGAAAAAUAAUCUUAACAAGUUCAUGCAUUCGGACAUAUUAACAUUCAUAAUUCUCUUCUAAUGAAAUCAAAUUGUUCUUCACUUACAGGUUUUGUAAAAAUAUCAACUAGUUGAUGCUUAGUAUCAAUGAACUCUAUGAUUACAUCAUGAUUAGUGACAUGAUCUCGUAUAAAGUGAUGUCUAAUAUCAAUAUGUUUUGUUCUUGAGUAUUGAAUGAGAUUCUUUGUUAAACAUAUUGCACUUGUGUUAUCACAUUUAAUGAGAAUAUUUUUAAGAUGGACUUUAUAAUCUUCUAAGGUGUUUUUCAUCCACACAACUUGUGCACAGCAUGCACUAGCUGCAAUAUACUCAGCUUCGAUUGUUGAUAGUGCAACCGAGUUUUGUUUCUUAGAUGACUAGGAAACAAGGGAAUGUCCCAAAAAUUGACAUGUUCCUGAUGUGCAUUUUCUAUCUAGUCUACACCCAGCAAAAUUCGCAUCAGCAUAAGCAAUUAACUCAAAAUUCUCAGAUUUUGGAUACCAUAAUCCUAGAUUUAUGGUACAUUUAAGAUAUCUAAGUAUUCUUUUAACCGCUUUGAGAUGAGAUAUCUUAGGGUUCGAUUGAAACCUAGCACAAAGUCCUACACUGAACAUGAUAUAUGGUCUAGUUGCAGUGAGGUAAAGUAAACUUCCUAUCAUACCCCUAUAAGUUUUUUGAUCGAAGCUUUCUCCACUUUCAUCAACUUCUAACUUAGUGGAGGUGCACAUAGGAGUGUUAAUAGCUUUUGAGAUAUCCAUAUUAAAUCUUUUCAGCAGAUCUAAAGCAUAUUUAGUUUGACUAAUAAAGAUAUCAUUGCUUAAUUGCUUAAUUUGUAAGCCUAAGAAAAAGAUUAAUUCUCCCAUCAAACUCAUUUCAAAUUCGAGACUCAUGGUUUUAGCAAAAGAUUCAUAAAGAGAUUCAUUCAUAGAACCGAAGAUAAUAUCAUCAACAUAAAUCUGAACAAUGAGAAAGUUAUUUUUAAAAUUCUUGAUAAACAAUGUAGUAUCGACCUUGUCAUUUGUGAAAUUAUUUUCAAUAAGAAAAGUACUAAGUCUAUCAUACCAAGCCCUUGAGGCUUGUUUUAAACCAUAGAGAGCUUUAGUUAAUUUAAAUACAUGAUUAGGGAGGCUAUUAUUUUCAAAUCCGGGAGGUUGUUCAACAUAAACUUCUUUAGAAAUAAAGCCAUUAAGAAAAGCGCUUUUAACAUCCAUUUGAAACAACUUAAAAUUAUUAUUAUUGGCAUAGGUAAGGAGUAUCCUUAUGGCUUCUAAUCUAGCCACAGGAGUGAAGGUUUCUUCGUAAUCGAUACCUUCUUCUUAGUUGAAACCUUUGACCACUAAUCUAGCCUUAUUUCUAACCACGAUACCACAUUCAUCUUGUUAGGAUCGGAGUGGCACUAAGAGGGGGGGGUGAAUUAGUGCAGCGGAUUAAAACUCAUAAGUUUGAAAACAAAUUCGUAAGUACGAGGAGAUUUCGUUUUGAUAGUAACUUGAGUAAAAUGAGAAAAUGAAAUUCGAAAGCUAAUAGUAGUGUAAAUGAUAAUUUCAAGAAGGUAAAUACUC
This 34749-nucleotide long non-coding RNA is filed under the name Musa acuminata (dwarf banana). RNAcentral describes it as "long non-coding RNA (MACU_LNC004042)". Lineage: Eukaryota; Viridiplantae; Streptophyta; Magnoliopsida; Zingiberales; Musaceae. The record is from RNAcentral.